AAGAACUGAAGAACAAUACUCGUUGAAAGGGUUAGGAACCAAACAAUCAAACAAUAGGUCAAUAGUAUACUGUAUACACACAAACAAAAAAACAAAAAAUUUGUCUCAUCUAUUCAACAGUCAUACAAUUAAACAAACAAGUAAAACCAUGGAAUCAUAAAAUUGCAGCAAUUCAAUGGAAUCAUGGAACUAAAGCAAGGCUGUAAGGGCCUCAUCAAAAAAAAAAACCAAAAGAAAGAAGAAGAAAAUGCCUGGUAAUAUGAACAAGGAUUAUGGAGGAGAACUAAUCCUUGAAUUCUUGAAACAUGCCUUUUCUGGAAAAAAAAGAGCCAAUAUUAUGGAAGAGAACUAGAGAAGAAUAGAAUCCUUAAAACGUGCCUUUUUCUGCAAGCAAAACCUUGGCCGAUUUGUCGCAAUAGAUUAAUAGAAUUAUG
RNAcentral lists this long non-coding RNA (434 nucleotides) under Fragaria vesca (wild strawberry). RNAcentral describes it as "long non-coding RNA (FVES_LNC004701)". The record is from RNAcentral. Lineage: Eukaryota; Viridiplantae; Streptophyta; Magnoliopsida; Rosales; Rosaceae.